Molecule: long non-coding RNA, 847 nt
Filed under: Nicotiana benthamiana
Lineage: Eukaryota; Viridiplantae; Streptophyta; Magnoliopsida; Solanales; Solanaceae
Description: long non-coding RNA (NBEN_LNC034291)
Source: RNAcentral
UGUUUUUCUAUACUGUUUAAGUUCCUUAUGUCCCAGAAAGUAUCAAAAUUGCUAUCAAAAUUACACUUAUGCAUCUGUUUGUGAAUGUGCUUUUCUUGGGAUCAACGAGUGUGUGAUGAGCAGUUGAGCACUGUGAAAUGAAAUCCUGCUUCCAUCCAAAUUGAGAAAUGAGAGUCAGGGUGUGUUUGGAAUUUUCGUUUCCCUUGUUAAUUGUUUUGUGAAUCUCCUUGUAUCAGCUGUAAAUAUUUGGUUUUAUUUCACCCUAAGGAUGUUUACAUUUGUUUCUUUACUAGCUAAUUUCCCUUUCAUUCCGCAUAGACUAAUGCGUAUUGCCACAUUUCCAUCUUAUUUAUUUCAGGCGAAGGUCACCAGAAGGCUGAAGCUAAUGCACAUCACUGAUAGAGAGCAGUAUGCUGCAUUUGCUUAGGACCAUUUUCGACUUGUAACUGUUCAAUUUUGUGUUUGAGAGUUAUUAGAUAUUUGUAUGGUUCAUUUUGGUGUCAUAGUGGUCCAAUUUUGAGGACUGCAUUGGACAAACAGGGGAAAAGUUGGCCAUACAUCUGCUAGCACAAUAUACUUGUGAAGCUCAAUCAAGUAUAUCAAUGAAGAACGAGAAGUAUAUACAAGUAUACAGCAAUGACAGCGAAUCAAGUAAUUGUUAAAGGAGUACAUAGAUCAAUUAAAGUAUUAAACCGAUAAACCGCCCAGUAACCGCCCGAUAAGAGCUAACCCGAUACCAAUCUGCCCGAUAUCUUAUCGGGUGGCUAAAGGAUUAAUACAUUUAAAAGCCGAAAACCGUUAAGCCAAACCGUUAGAGUAAAAAGCCGCCCAAUCCGCCCAAUGAACA